Otolemur garnettii (small-eared galago) is the source of this 125-nucleotide long non-coding RNA. RefSeq lists it as uncharacterized. Lineage: Eukaryota; Metazoa; Chordata; Mammalia; Primates; Galagidae. The transcript is spliced from 3 exons. The record is from RefSeq and is a predicted model, not a curated record.
CUCUUCCCAUCUGUGAAUCUUUCUAAAAGCAGAGUAUGAAUGUCUUAACUCAAUAACUAAGAGAAUGAUAUGAAGGUUAUGCUAACCAGUUAGAUGGGAGUAUUUCAAAACGUAUAUGAAAACAG